RNAcentral lists this ribosomal RNA (305 nucleotides) under uncultured bacterium. Its description in RNAcentral is "bacterial SSU rRNA". It matches the Rfam family "Bacterial small subunit ribosomal RNA", at positions 333 to 655 of the family's 1533-position model. The record is from RNAcentral.
GGUAACCUACGGGAGGCAGCAGUGGGGAAUAUUGCACAAUGGGGGGAACCCUGAUGCAGCGACGCCGCGUGAGUGAAGAAGUAUUUCGGUAUGUAAAGCUCUAUCAGCAGGGAAGAAAAUGACGGUACCUGACUAAGAAGCCCCGGCUAACUACGUGCCAGCAGCCGCGGUAAUACGUAGGGGGCAAGCGUUAUCCGGAUUUACUGGGUGUAAAGGGAGCGUAGACGGUUAUGCAAGUCUGAAGUGAAAUCCCAAGGCUCAACCAUGGGACUGCUUUGGAAACUGCAAAACUGGAGUGAAGGAGG